GGACCAGGGACUACAAACUCACCUUCAGGGCUCCUAAGCUGCUGCGGAGCUAGACGGCGGGCUGUGGGUGGGGAGGAGACUAGAAUAUUCUGAGACGGGGUCAGGUGGGAGUUGGGAGAGGUAACGUGGAGUUGCUGCCCAAGAUGCAGCUCAGCUCCAGUGGCCACACCAAGACGGUUUAAGACCGAGAGCGGAACCAGGGAGGUUGUUUUUGGUGGCUGGGGGCUUGGGUUUGAGUUCCUUGAACAGCAGAGGGUGCUUGGAUUUAGGGAGGCUCUAAUUGCCUGGACGAAGAACCCCGAGCUGUCUGGCCGGCCUUUCACAGUAUCCGACCGGGGCGUCCUGGACCGCCGCCAGCUCUAUCUGACCACCUCGGCGCGGGACUUUCGGUUCUAUCCCAAGACGGAGCUGUCCGGAUACCCCCGCAAGGACUCCCUGACCUACUGGAGCUUCGAAGAGACGCCCCAGGUCUGGAGCCACGGCCCGCAGCGGCCG
This 495-nucleotide small RNA is filed under the name Pan troglodytes (chimpanzee). RNAcentral's name for it is "processed transcript". The record is from RNAcentral. Lineage: Eukaryota; Metazoa; Chordata; Mammalia; Primates; Hominidae.